CAGUACUUCAUCGUCACUGGUGAAAUAUCCCAGGAGCUUGCACCAACUGUAAAACAUGAAGGCAUUUAAUUUGCUAUGUUUUUCUGCCCUGAUCAUCACAUGCUACGGAAAUUCAAACAAUUUGGUCAGAAUCGUUGACCUCACCCAGCCUUUAGACGCAAAUAAUCAGGGCAUCCUCGAAAGCAGCCUUCAGAAUAACAACAACCGUAGAUUUGGCUUUCUGCCACCAUACGGGGGUGCUGACGUACAAGCUGGUAUAAACAUCAACGCAAUUGAUCUUGGUCCUGGUGGCUAUCCACAACCUCCAAUGGCAUAUGGCAAUAUGUACCAGUAUCCCCCUCCCUAUUCUCAAUUAAUUGGCUAACGACCCCGUUUUACAAUAUAUUUGACUUUGUCUGACAAUA
Helicoverpa armigera (cotton bollworm) is the source of this 404-nucleotide long non-coding RNA. RefSeq lists it as uncharacterized. The record is from RefSeq and is a predicted model, not a curated record. Lineage: Eukaryota; Metazoa; Arthropoda; Insecta; Lepidoptera; Noctuidae. The transcript is spliced from 2 exons.